RNAcentral lists this microRNA (23 nucleotides) under Chrysemys picta bellii (western painted turtle). RNAcentral describes it as "Cpi-Mir-194-P2_5p (mature (guide))". RNAcentral also lists the same sequence under 12 other names. The record is from RNAcentral. Lineage: Eukaryota; Metazoa; Chordata; Testudines; Emydidae.
UGUAACAGCAACUCCAUGUGGAC